Molecule: long non-coding RNA, 1592 nt
Organism: Coturnix japonica (Japanese quail)
Lineage: Eukaryota; Metazoa; Chordata; Aves; Galliformes; Phasianidae
Source: Ensembl
CGCAGCGCGGCCCGGCAGUGCGCUGUAUAUAUAGGCCCCGAACACGCUCCCAAUGCAGUCGUACCUGCCGCCGCCCCUCUGGCCGAGUCCCACCGCUCCGACAAGCGGCGGCGGGAGGAGCGGCCCCGUCCCCGCCCCUCCAGGCCGGACCCGGCAGAUCCUCCCGCCGGAGGCACGGGGCGGUGUUAUGUGUUCCAGAGCCGGUGUGAAGGGUGCAGGUUGGACUGCUCUGUGAGAUACUUAGAAAUUGGCGACAGGACAAAGGGAAACGGCAACAAACUGAAGCCUAUAAAGUUCUGCACAAAUGAUACAGUGCGUGCCAUAGAACUGGCAAUGUCUCAAGAGUACAAGAACCAUCAGCCAAUGCAGUGGUACACAUCCAGCAUGCAACUGGGAUGCUGCCAGCGGGGCUGCAUGGGUGCUGAGACGUGCUCACGGAUCCCACAGGUUAGGUCCAAUUCCUGCUGCAGAACAAAGCCAUGCAGGUUUUGUGACAUAAUUCUUCAUUGUGGUAUGAGAGUAUGUAUGUAAAAUGGAGCAUUUUUUCUGCUAACCUGGAAGAUUCACCAGGUUUCACUCUCAUCACAGAAGUAAAUCAAGCAAUCCAGACUGAACGGCCAAACUUCUGCCUGAAGGCAGAUUAUGAUGACAUUCUGAUUAAAUGUAGUAUUCUUCUGCAUUUUGCCCUGGUGUCAUGUAUAGUUUGUUACUUCCUUCUUCCAUCGGAAAGCACAAUAAGGAUUAAACUACAUUAUUUUGCAUUUGCUCUUUGACUUCUCAUUGUUAAUUUCUUUCUGGAUAAAACUGUUUCGCGAAUAUAUACUUUGCGAAUUGUGCAAGAAAAAAUACACAACACUCACUUCAGAACGUUAUAACAAAAUGAGCUAGUGUAUUUUAUUUCGGUAACAGCCAAGAAAUCUGACAUUUUGCUCAAUAUGGCUUUCUUCUAAAAUUAAAAAGUUGCAUAUUACCUCCAUUUGAGUGCACCAGCUACAGAAAAUCUCCCGUAUACAUCUUCAGUUCACAGCAGCAUCACCAGAGUACAGCUUUCAGUGGAUUUUUCAAGCAGAAUUAUAAGAUAGAAGUUUUAAAAUGUUCAUUUAGAAUAUUUUAUAUUGUUUAUAUGAAAACAUACAAAUUUUUCAUUUAUACAUAUACUACAUAUAAAACUCGUUGUAAUUAGCAAGUAUAUCCAUCUGGGUAUUUACCUUUGUGCAUACAGGGGGAAAAAAAAGUAUGUAGUUAGGGCUUCAGGUGAAAUAUUAAAGGUAGAGACUUUAGUAUAUGCUAACUAAAACCUUAUUUAAACAACUCAAACAAUUGUUCCUGCUUUUAAAAGAUAAAGAGUUUUAGCUUAAAAAUACAUUCAUAAAACAAAGAGACAAUUUUCUCCCUGAGACUACCAGUGUGAGUUACUUUGUGGUAAUCGUUGAAUGAAAAAAUACAAAAGAGACAACAGGCUUUUUCUAUAUGCCGCAGCAAAUUCCUGGAGCAACACCAGCAUCAUAAAAGGUGUAGACUGGAGAAUCAUGCUCACUAGCUGAAAGAAAACCAUGUUCAUAUAUCAGACAAUAAAACUCUUAAUAUAGACA